RNAcentral lists this ribosomal RNA (253 nucleotides) under uncultured bacterium. RNAcentral's name for it is "partial 16S ribosomal RNA". It matches the Rfam family "Bacterial small subunit ribosomal RNA", at positions 524 to 776 of the family's 1533-position model. The record is from RNAcentral.
UACGUAGGGGGCAAGCGUUGUCCGGAAUCAUUGGGCGUAAAGAGCGUGUAGGCGGUCCGGUAAGUCCGCUGUGAAAGUCGGGGGCUCAACCCUCGAAUGCCGGUGGAUACUGUCGGGCUAGAGUGCGGAAGAGGCGAGUGGAAUUCCUGGUGUAGCGGUGAAAUGCGCAGAUAUCAGGAGGAACACCUAUUGCGAAGGCAGCGCGCUGGGACGUAACUGACGCUGAGACGCGAAAGCGUGGGGAGCAAACAGG